This 448-nucleotide ribosomal RNA is filed under the name uncultured bacterium. RNAcentral describes it as "partial 16S ribosomal RNA". It matches the Rfam family "Bacterial small subunit ribosomal RNA", at positions 330 to 794 of the family's 1533-position model. The record is from RNAcentral.
UCCAGACUCCUACGGGAGGCAGCAGUGGGGAAUAUUGCACAAUGGGGGGAACCCUGAUGCAGCGACGCCGCGUGAGUGAAGAAGUAUUUCGGUAUGUAAAGCUCUGUCAGCAGGGAAGAAGAAAGACGGUACCUGACCAAGAAGCCCCGGCUAACUACGUGCCAGCAGCCGCGGUAAUACGUAGGGGGCAAGCGUUAUCCGGAUUUACUGGGUGUAAAGGGGGCGCAGACGGCGAUGCAAGCCAGGAGUGAAAGCCCGGGGCCCAACCCCGGGACUGCUCUUGGAACUGCGUGGCUGGAGUGCAGGAGGGGCAGGCGGAAUUCCUGGUGUAGCGGUGAAAUGCGUAGAUAUCAGGAGGAACACCGGUGGCGAAGGCGGCCUGCUGGACUGCAACUGACGUUGAGGCCCGAAAGCGUGGGGAGCAAACAGGAUUAGAUACCCGAGUAUA